Molecule: transfer RNA, 62 nt
Filed under: Codonobdella sp. IK-2021
Lineage: Eukaryota; Metazoa; Annelida; Clitellata; Hirudinida; Piscicolidae
Also listed under: 1 other name
Description: tRNA-His
Source: RNAcentral
AAUUUAGUAAGUUAUUUAAACUAUUGAAUUGUGGUUUCAAAAAUAUCAUAAGAUCUAUAUUC